RNAcentral lists this ribosomal RNA (650 nucleotides) under Roseobacter sp. OFEM62. Its description in RNAcentral is "bacterial SSU rRNA". It matches the Rfam family "Bacterial small subunit ribosomal RNA", at positions 96 to 781 of the family's 1533-position model. Lineage: Bacteria; Pseudomonadati; Pseudomonadota; Alphaproteobacteria; Rhodobacterales; Roseobacteraceae. The record is from RNAcentral.
CGGCGGACGGGUUAGUAACGCGUGGGAAUAUACCCAGAUCUAAGGAAUAGCCUCGGGAAACUGAGAGUAAUACCUUAUACGCCCUUCGGGGGAAAGAUUUAUCGGAUUUGGAUUAGCCCGCGUUAGAUUAGAUAGUUGGUGGGGUAAUGGCCUACCAAGUCUACGAUCUAUAGCUGGUUUGAGAGGAUGAUCAGCAACACUGGGACUGAGACACGGCCCAGACUCCUACGGGAGGCAGCAGUGGGGAAUCUUAGACAAUGGGCGCAAGCCUGAUCUAGCCAUGCCGCGUGAGUGAUGAAGGCCUUAGGGUCGUAAAGCUCUUUCGCCAGAGAUGAUAAUGACAGUAUCUGGUAAAGAAACCCCGGCUAACUCCGUGCCAGCAGCCGCGGUAAUACGGAGGGGGUUAGCGUUGUUCGGAAUUACUGGGCGUAAAGCGUACGUAGGCGGAUUAGUCAGUUAGGGGUGAAAUCCCAGGGCUCAACCCUGGAACUGCCCUUAAUACUGCUAGUCUUGAGUUCGAGAGAGGUGAGUGGAAUUCCGAGUGUAGAGGUGAAAUUCGUAGAUAUUCGGAGGAACACCAGUGGCGAAGGCGGCUCACUGGCUCGAUACUGACGCUGAGGUACGAAAGUGUGGGGAGCAAACAGGAUUAG